UACGGGAGGCAGCAGUGGGGAAUUUUGCGCAAUGGGCGAAAGCCUGACGCAGCAACGCCGCGUGAGUGAUGAAGGCUUUCGGGUCGUAAAGCUCUGUCAGGGGGAAAGAAGUGUAUUGUGGUUAAUACCCAUGAUACUUGACGGUACCCCCAAAGGAAGCACCGGCUAACUCCGUGCCAGCAGCCGCGGUAAUACGGGGGGUGCGAGCGUUGUUCGGAAUUAUUGGGCGUAAAGCGCGUGUAGGCGGUUUGUUAAGUCUGAUGUGAAAGCCCUGGGCUCAACCCAGGAAGUGCAUUGGAAACUGGCAGACUUGAAUACGGGAGAGGGUAGUGGAAUUCCUGGUGUAGGAGUGAAAUCCGUAGAUAUCAGGAGGAACACCGGUGGCGAAGGCGGCUGCCUGGACCGAUAUUGACGCUGAGACGCGAAAGCGUGGGUAGCAAACAGGAUUAGAUACCCUGGUAGUCCACGCCGUAAACGAUGAGUACUAGGUGUUGCGGGUAUUGACCCCUGCAGUGCCGCAGCUAACGCAUUAAGUACUCCGCCUGGAGACCNU
Molecule: ribosomal RNA, 553 nt
Filed under: uncultured delta proteobacterium
Lineage: Bacteria; Deltaproteobacteria
Description: bacterial SSU rRNA
Rfam family: Bacterial small subunit ribosomal RNA
Source: RNAcentral